CAGAAGACCUGGGUUUGAUCCCUGGGUUGGGAAGACCCGCUGGAGAAGGGAAUGGCUAUCCACUCCAGUAUUCUCUCCUGGAGAAGCACCAGAGACGCAGACCCCACUCUGCUUAUAUUCCAAGGACCCACCCUCUGGAUAAUUUUUCUCUUAAAACGAUGUUGUGAAUUUCCUGGCAGUCCAUUGGUUAGUACUCCACGCUCUCCCUUACAAAGACUCCAGUUGAUCCCUGGUGGGGGAAGUAAGAUUCCCAAUGCCGCUGUGGCCUAAAAUAAAUAAAUAAAUAACACUCCAUGUUUAGGAAGCUUUUGUAGGUCACACUAGUGCUGUGUAUUAAGUGGCCCUUCAUGGCCCCUAUUACCACACUCAGUUGACACAACUGCAGCCCAAAAGGGAGAAAGAGAUUUUUUUGUGCACCUCCCCAUGUCAGGGGAGUGACCUCUUUCAAUCUUCCCAACCACUGUGGGGAGUGGGUGGAGCUUUCCAUUUCACAGAGGAGGUAACUGAGGCUCAGAAGCUAAGCUACUUGGCCUCAGGAGGUUAAAACUAAGAUUUGAACCCUCGUAUAUCUCACUCCACAACCUUUGCCACCACCCUCCCCCCGCAUAUACCCAAAGAAAACAAACAAAAAAUUUGGCUUUUUACUUGAUCUCAGAGUCUUCAUUACAGACAAGGGUGUGGUUUUUACUCUUUUCUGUUAAGUGUUUGGAAAAUUGAAAGCAACGCAGCACCUCGGGUAGCUGCCUGACCUCGUCCCGGUGGAAGGGAUCCUCACACCCCUAAAGCGUCCAUCCUCUCCCCAGCCACAGCAGUCCAUAGACGCCCCCGUCCGUCUCCUCCAGCCCCUCCCUCCGGCCGCCCACCCCCUCGCUCAGCCCCCCUUCCACCCCUCCCAGGCCUCCAGACCCGCUGUCCCUGCUCAGACCCCAGGUCCCUGGCGGGAGUUUCCUGUCCCCAGCGCCCGUACUUUCCAUGACACAAGAGGAAGUCGGCUGAGCAGGGGCUGGGUUUUCCAGGCCGCCCGGCCCUGGGUGGAGGCCGAAGGUGGGGGUGAGGAGGGGGUUAUCACCCCCCAACCCCCACCCCAGGGCCGUGUCAGUACCUCGUCGGCCUCCGCGGGAGAAGCGCCUGCCUGCGCUGCCCGGGCCCACACCAGGGAUUUGAAUGAUGCCAAGGCCCCAGUCUCCCGUUCUAGGACCCCUGCCCCCAGGCUGCACCGACGUGGGAGCUGGAGAUGGGAGAUUUGUCUGAUCUGGAACCUGGACUGUUUGACUCUUUCUCUCUAGUGGGAAGGUGUCGUCGGGUGCCAGGGCUUUGUGGGAGGAGCAGAGUGCAGAGAACCCAAGUUUGCCAUGGAUAGGCGUGUGCUGGCUCUGUAAAGUGGCUCAGUGUGUGUACUUUCCUGGAGUCCUGGGUGGCCAUGCAACCUGCAGGGACAGGUCGGGGCACCCUCCCUCCCACCUUUCCCAGCCACAUCUGGGACCUGGGUUUUGCCAUCUGAUGACACUGGUCUCAUAUCCCUGUGGUGAAACCUUGAGUCAAGGAUUCAAGUCAGUUACCUAAACUCUUCAUCUGUAAAAUGGGACGGUUUGAAGAUAAAGCGUGUAAUGUAUAUAAAGAGCAUAGCACAGUCCUGGCUCCUGGUAAGGGCUCCAGAAACCAGAGUUGAUAUCAUGGUCAUUUCUGGGUGGAGAGUCUAGGGUUUAGGGGGCCCUGAUGCCAACUUUCCAUUUUGACUUGAUGUGUGACCUUGGGCAAGUAAUUUCCCCUUUCUGAGACUGGGAGUAGGGAUAAGCCCUGCAUUACAGGGCUU
This 1813-nucleotide long non-coding RNA is filed under the name Bos indicus x Bos taurus (hybrid cattle). RNAcentral's name for it is "lncRNA (ENSBIXG00000008372.1)". The record is from RNAcentral. Lineage: Eukaryota; Metazoa; Chordata; Mammalia; Artiodactyla; Bovidae.